This is a long non-coding RNA of Pygocentrus nattereri (red-bellied piranha), 10283 nucleotides long. RefSeq lists it as uncharacterized. The record is from RefSeq and is a predicted model, not a curated record. The transcript has 2 exons. Lineage: Eukaryota; Metazoa; Chordata; Actinopteri; Characiformes; Serrasalmidae.
GGCUCUUGUUCUCCCCCAACCCAUUACGUGAAUACACGUUUUGAUCUAGGUGUGCUUUGCUAGCACUUUUUUUACCUCCCUACUGGACCUGUCUUCAGAAUGGUGUUUCUUUUAUACGGAGCACUGCCGAAAACAGGAAGACUGAUGGUUGAUAAGCAGCCAGUUGAGUCUACAGCUUGCUCUGACAUCUCCGCUCUGGCUCCAAAUGACACCCUCAUCCUUUCACAUGAGCAACAGAAAGAUUUCAGAUGGUAUUUGUGUGUAAAAGCAAGACAGAGCAACUGUGUACCUUCCUACAAAUUCACAACCACCCUGUUCUUUUCCCUCUCACAGAAUAAGGCCUAGACUCGGAAUAGAAAACAACUGUGAUAAACAAAGUGUUGAUAAAAACCUCACCAUCCUAAUCACAUUAUUCUGGCUGCCCAAUUGCAGGGCCAGUCUAGUGCAAAAGUAGCUUUGGGGCAAAAAGUAUAUUACAUAGCUAAAGAAGCUGAAUUUUAUUUGUACUUUUGUCCAUUUGUAAUGCACAGACAUUUUGGAGGGGCAAGGGCUCAAGGGCAAAAAAGAGCAACAUGAAUGUAAAUUAAACCUCAUUUGAUUUAGGUUUUAUUGCAAUUACUCUUAUCAAGAGACGCAGGGUAAUCAUAUUUCAGAUAAAACCAAGCAUACUCUUAAGAGUUUUUCAAAUGGCAGCCAAAAGCACUGUAGGGAUUUGAACUCCAGUCACAGCAUUCAAAGCCAUGGCAUUACUCACUGCAUGUAAUCGCUUUUUAAUCACCAUGCUGAAUCCAGUAAUAACUCCAUUUAAGAGCUACAUAGAGUCUUAAAACUUGGUGUUACGAAAACGAGAUAUUAGCUUCACGAAUUAUUAACACUCUUCAUUGUCAACAUGUUUGAAUGUUGUUCAAAAUAACCACAUUUUGGAUCGGAGGUGGGCACUGUACCAGAGAACUGAACCCACAAGGCUUUUUCUUGGGGCAACACUGAGCUUAGCCUCACUGAAAUGGAUACAGUAUAUAAAAUAUGUUUUUUAUAUGCACCAACCAAUAGGGCACUUAUACCAUCUUGAGAGCAAAGGGGCAGAGACUGAAGCUCCUGGAUAACAAGCUUUGUCUUUAUAUAUAACAUCUUUAUAUAUAACAGUAUAUCACAUAAUGUCAGCAAUUCCAUAAACUAACAUAGUUGAGAUUCCUUAACGACAUGAUGUGUGAGAAAAUUAUGUAACGAUUCAGGUGUGCAGCCUGAAAGGUGAUACUUGGUACUCUAUAUGCUUCCAUCACUUGUUAGCUACAUUAGCCUUGUAACUCAAGUCCAAAACCAAGGAAGCCAACUUCAGAAACUAAACAUGUUUUGGUUAAUCUACUGCAUUUGUAAAAAUAGUGUAAAUUUUAUUUUUGGCCAAGCUAUCCAGAGCUGUCCUUACUUGGACAUAACAAUGUAUUUGAAAUAAUUACAGCUUCAAUAAAAAUAGUGCUUUUUAAUUCCCUCUUUGGAGCUGAAAUCUCUUCAACAUUAUGUAGACUAGUUCACUUUUUAUUCAUGAUUCAUGAAAGAGCCUUAAUAAAAUGGCUAAAUAGAUAAUUGCUGGCAAUUCACAGAAUUGACAGUCGCACUGGCCCCUAACAGUUUGCCCAAAUGGAUCAUAAGUACAGUAUAAUUUAAAAUGUAUCACCUUCCGUACUGUAAGCUGUUGGUUUUUCCCCGUAUUACAUGCCGACACUCAUGUAUAUAUAUACAUGAGUGUAUAUACAUAUAUAUACAUAUACAUACAGCGUGUAUACAGUAUUUAUAUGGUAUGAAGAAUGGUGUCAUAUAUCAUCAUUUAUACACUGUUGGAUUGCUGAGACAACUUGUGGCUGACUCCAGCCAUAAUGUCAUCUGAGAGGAUCGUAAUCUGCCUAAUCUGUCAUUUUAUCACAUGCCUAUGUAGUGUUUAAGAAACGCAGAGCUGCAUGUCCUGAUCAACUUUCUCACGACUGAAUGUCUAAGAGGUUGUGAGUCAUCAACAUAAAUUUUUUAGGGCAGACAUCUGAAGGGUGAUGCGACGUGACAGCAUGUGAACUUCUGAGGCUGUCAUCCUAGCCGAUCAUGAGAACUGUUCCAAACCAGUUCCUAUUCCAUAGCUGAAGGCACAUUUUCUCCCUUUUUUGACAACCCUGUCUUGUCUGGGGUUCACAGAAACAGAUGUGCUUUAACGCUCGCUGUGAGCUGCUGUAUCUGCGCUGUGCUGUGAGUGAUCGACUGCUGCUAUUAACAGAGUGAGCCAUGAUAUGCUCAAAAAGAAACGGACUUGCUGCUGUGGGUGUUUUGGAGUUCCCCAGUGCAUGUGUGGUGUGUGUGUAUGUGUGUGCAUGUAUGUGUGUUUGUGCAUGUGUGUGUUUUCGUACAUUUUUAGGACCAAAAUUUCCUGACUUUGCAGGACAAAAACAGAAAAACAUUUGUAACCUUUAUAAAAUGGUCCUGUCUUUGUAGAAUGCUUUUUACAAAAGUUCUAAACUAUGAAUUGGAAUGAAAAAUCUUUUUCAUUUUGUUAUUGAGGUUAAGGCUACGGAUGAGGUAUUCAAUAAUUGGGUAUUCUGCAAAAUUCAGUGAACGUGGUAAUGUUGUUGUGCACACUCUGAAAUACCAUCACUGCAUUUCAGUCACGGUUUCACUAGAGAUUUUGUAGAUAUGCAAAGUAGCUCUGGUUUCACAAGCUCUCACUACUCUGUCACAUUCUGCUCACAUGUUAAAUCCCCUCUCUGCUCGGAUGAGAGCUGCUGAUAUAAACAAUCGCAGAGAACACAGAUACAGCAUGGCAGAAGGUGAAGUGGUCCCAGAGCUUUUUACAUGCUCAAAAAAGGUGAAAACUCACAUCACACCAGGCUUGGAGGAGAGAAAAUGCAGGAUCUCACAAAGACAUGCAUGAUUGCAGCCACUAACUGUGUAUAAGUACAACAGGCCUAACAGGCUACAGGGUAAUCCGGUAAUAUUAGAGACAUAAUGAAAGUUGAAAUAUUCGAAAUUUUCACAACAGUAACAGGUGAAGUAUACAAUAUGUAUGUAUAUUCAAAUGCCCGUGUGUAGUCUAGAGCUGUGUAGUAUUAAACCCAGAGUGGAAAGAACACCACUAUCAGCAUGGUGCUAACAUAACACAGCAAACCCAGUGGUGAUGGAAGAAGAGAAAAUUUGUCAAGUGAGUCAAGUGGUCUUUAUUCCCCAGUAUGACCUGUAUAUACUGGAACAAAAAAGCCAUUCUUCAGGCCACAUGGUGCAACACACAACAGCAGAACAUUACACAGGACUACAUAGAGUGCAGAUACACAACAGUGUAAAAAAAAACAUCUAAUUUACAUAACGUUCCACUUAACCCAAAUGCAGUAGAUCAGCCAAGAUAUGUUUGGUGUCCAAACACUAGUAGUCAAUAAUCACCCAAAUGUUUUCCAUAAAUACAUCCCAAAAACUGUUCUCAACCUGCUCAGUCCACAUCCAGAUGUGUUGCACAGACCUGGUGGUGUGGUUUAGGACACAAUAUUGCUUAUUGUACAUAUAAGAACAAAGUUCCCCAUCUAGCUGAACACAGCGAGCAGCCAUUUUAUACAACAGUCAGUGUUAUGCUGAAUUCUGAAUCCAACUCCCCUUCACGUGCACACGCCAUGCAGGCAUAUACACACUAGAUUAGACUUGCGCUUUCUGCUAUUUUUAUUUAUAAGCAAAUACAGUUGUAUACAAAAGUUUGAACACCCCUGGUCAAAUUAUCUGUUGAUUUUCUAAGUGAAAAUAUGUUAGUACAAAUGUUCACAUACAACUAUAUCUUCAGUUUAAAAAUUCAAGAUUAACAGUUAGUUUCCCAAAAGUACAUGAAAAGAGGCAGCAGAAAUAGCAAAUGUACUUGGUAGCACCCAUACGCCUGCAUGUGCACGUCUGCACGCAACGAUCUGUUGAAUUUCGGCACAACACUUGUUGUGUAAAAUGUCUGCCCACAGCAUUCAGAAGUUUUGUUCUUUUUUUACAGUUCACUUUGUCCUAAACUACACUUACAAGUGCAAUGAUGACUGACUGAUCUAGUGUUAACAAUGUAAGCCUUGUGGCUCCAGUGUUGUGUCUUGGCUGACUGUCUACAUGCAGGGUAAGUGAAAAAUUGUAUAAAUUUUGUUUUUUUCACUGAGCCAUUUUUUGUUAAAACACUAUGUAGCUGACUGUCAUGUGUCAGUCUGAUGGUGAGCAAUGAAUGAAGAUUCUACUCUACGUGAUCUUAUUUUUGGACGUGUGUGUGUGUGCGUGUGUGUGUGUGUGUGUAUUUGUGUGUAUGUGUGUGUUUGUUUCUGCUGUUACCACGCUACACUUUCAAAAAGUGGUGGGGACAAGUCCCUAGUGUCCUCAGUGUAAAUUAAAUGUAUGCAUAUGGCACAUAUACAUGACAUCACACCCUGACAUUGUAUAAACACAAACCUGUGUGUGUAUGUGUGUGCAUGCAUGUGCGUCUCUGACUGGCUGUUUUUGUUUUGGAGUGCUCUGGUUAUCUGGGUGACUCAGUCGGGGAAGUGCCUGUCAACAGUAGUCUGCCUGAGGGAGUCAGACACAGAGAGAGGAGUGUGUGUGUGUGUGUGUGUGUGUGUGUGUGUGUGUGUGUGAUUAUACAUAGCCGGCAGGCCCAGUCUGUCAGGUCAUUGAGUUUCUUCAGCGAAGGGGGUUUUGUGUGUGUGUGAGGAGAGGAUGGAUCAGGUGGCAUGCCGGGUGUUGACAGGAAUCUAUGUGUGGCCCGUGUGUGUGUAUGUGUGUCCAGAACCAUGCGGAGCGGGCCAGGACAGGGCAGGAAGUGAAGCAGCAGGAGCAUACUCUUCCCAGACAAAGCCUAAUCAGUGGCCAGCACUGAUUCCUCAUAAACUCACAUACAUACCGACACUCAUGCACACAUGCCUGAUGCUCUGUCUUCCUUUUUUACACGUGUGUGGCCGUGUUUGUUUCGACGCUGGGAAAAUGUCCUCCUGUACAUUGCAGUGCACCUCAAUCCCUGUGCAUUAUCUCCUUGAUAUGAAGCACACUGGGCCUUCACUUGAGUAUUUACAUCAGGGCUGUAGCUACCACCAAUGAAAAUGUUACACAAUAUAAGGUCAUCUUGGCCAGUUAUUGCAUACUUGUGAUUUGUUUCCACUUUAAAUAUAUAAGAGAUUGCUAAAGCUCUUCUUAGGUCAGAAUUUCAUGGUGGACGCUAUGUUUACAUAGCCACCUUCUAUCGUCAAUCACACAAAAAGGCACAGAAAGACAUAUUUUCUCAUGUAAAGAUGCUAUUUAUUAACACAUUAACAUAAUAUUAGCUCCUCCUGUUUCUCCUGAUAAAAUUAGCUAAGCUGUGCCUAGUUCAUAUUGCAACCUAGCUAGCAAGUACUAUUAGCUGACUGGUAAAGAAAACAAGAAUAAGUACAUUGAAAAUAUGUACCAUUUGCUGUAAACAUCUACUCCUAGUGCUAUAAAAGGUACCCUGGAUACCUAGCCUUUACCCUGUGUGGUAUAUGAGGUUGAAGCUGGUUUUGUAUUUUUCAUAUUCACUCAUAUUCAUAUUCUGAUUUUUCAGUGCCAACAGUGCAUCAGUUGAAUGCUGUACUAUUUAAGGUGGAGCGGAACAUUUGAAGAAGAAGCUGCCAAAUGAAAAGCCAACUUCUGUCAGUUUGCUGUCAAUUUUCUAGUACCUAAAAUUAGUCAUUUAAAUGUGUGGAAAGCAAUCAUGUGUUGUGUUCAAAAAUCUUUCUGAUUACAGUCUAUGACCCCCUAAACCUCUGACCAUCCAUCCAUCCAUCCAUCCAUCCAUCCAUCCAUCCAUCCAUCCAUCCAUCCAUCACCCCUUUAAAAUGAAAUUCUACCUACACCACUGAUUUACAAACCAACACAUAAAUGAGACAUUUUCUAACAUUAUAAGCGUAAUCAUUUAGACUUAAUUGUCUUUAAGGUUAUGAAAAGCAUACAUUUAAUAAGGUAAUAGUUUGACUGUUUCUGUAAUUAAGAUCAUUGUCAUUUAUAGAAGACCCACAUUACCAAGAUGUUUGAACAAUAACAACCACAGCUGCUAAACACACUCGUCUGGUGAACUCUGCACUGAUCCUGGACUUUGCAUACUGUAGGUCAGGGUUGGAUGCAUUUUUAAUGCUUGGCCGCGGUCGAAGAGUCAUUUUUAACAUAUUCAACUUCAGCUCCAUGUGGUGCAGCAUGUUUUCCACAUGCUGGAGUUCAGAUGUCACAGGGUGAAGCGUUGUAUUGUGCAGAUCGCAAGCAAAGAGCACAACUCAAGAUUGAUUGCACUGUGUAAGGGCAUGAAGAAAGUAUGUUCUGUAUAGGAGACAUCGAAAUGCAAAACUGAUGUAUUGAAGGGGCUGAUUCAUGGUGAGUGCCGCAGGUGAAGAAGAGAACCAGAGAGCUGAUGGUGAUAGACAUCUGUCCAUAGAUUCUAUGGGUCAUUGCAAGUGAAGAUUAUGGCAUCCUACCAGUCCAAAAGUGCAAAAGUAAAAAUGAAGGAUAAAAGGUUACACCCCUGGAAGCAGGUUGUAACAGGGCCUCUUCCUGAGGAAGACACGACCCUAUCUGAACAGCCUGCCGUGUUAGUCAAACAGGAUGUUUGCGGAGAGAUGCAGAGGUGCCACAGGCACCUGCAGUGAGAGUGCACAGACGGUCUACAUCAGAUCAACAUGUUUACACCACCGCUGAGGAUCACCACUUCUGUUACUGAAACCACGUGCUGUACGAACUGACUGUUCGAGAGGAUGUACACAGAGCAGCAUGGAGCGGAAGCGCUGUUUGUGUCUAAACGGUCUUUAGGAGGUUUACACGUCUGUUUUACAUGUGAUUUCUCUUCUCUUGUAUGAGCUGUAUUGUAGAACAGGAAGGUGUGUGCUAGAUAAGCUGUGGUUGUGCAGUAGUGAGCGUUACAGAGCGUAUAUGAGAGCAUGAGAUGAACAUCAAAAUCAGACAUAUAGGCUGAGUUGAGUGUUGAAGGGAUGACAUAGCAAAGUGUCCCGUUCUGAGUGGCUGGAAUCCAAAACAGUUUGAAGAUUUUCCUCAUCAAACUUGCCUACUAAACAUGGUAACUAACUGCUGAGUUGGACCAGUUGCGUUUGAGAAGGGAAACUACCAAACUGUGCUGGACUAAGGCCCUCCAGGACCAAAGCUGGACACCCCUGGGACAACUCAACUUACUCUUAUUAAAUUGACUUAUUAUUAUUGUCAUAUUACUUUAGAAGGAGUUAUUUCAUUUCUUACAAGCUUAAGGCACUUUCACACCUAUGCUGUUUAGUGUAGACUAACUGAACAUUCUUCUUAGUUUGGUCCAUUUUAACAUGUGUGAACAGGCCACCUGGCACACUAAACAACUGCACCAUGAUCCGUUAAAAAUUGAGGGUCUCAGUUCACUCCAAACUGAUGGAAUACAUUUCUUUGAGGAUCUGCAUCAAAUGAGGGAAUUCGCCAUCAAAACAUGCUUUUCUCUGUGGAUGUUAGUGCUGUACUCUCUGCCUAAACUUUAUGUUGUUACAUUUGAUACUGUACAGAUGCUUGUUGUUCUUGCAGCAGAUGAACAAUAACACAGUAUUUGGUUUUGUCACAUGGACUGCAGAACAUGUUUUUCAGUAAAAGGAGCCAGAAAUCAGGCAUGAUUUAAUUGAAGGGGAUGAAAUUUAACCAGUCAGACUCAAGACCAAGACUGUGGGAUCAGGGAUCUAGCACUGCUCAGACCCAAUGUUUUGUAGAUUCAAUUUGAAUCUGUCUGUUUCUUUGAGGAACAAGGCUUCCUGGCUUUUAGUUCUUUGCAAAAAUUGCUUACUGGUCUGUCCUUUAAGCCAAAAAUGAAAUGCUUACUGAAAAAUACUGCACAAAUAUGAAGUGUUUUUUGUUCCAUAGACUGGAUUUGAAAAUACCUGAAGUGAGAGAAAAAGACCAUCUCCAUAAUAUGCUAUAUUAUAAACACAACAAUACAUGCUGUGUAGUCCAUGGUUGUACAGCUGAGAGAAGAACGUCAGAGCAGUAUUGUGACACUGUGAGAUGAACAAUGAAGUCAGACCUAUUGGCUGAUUUGAGUGCUGAAGUGAUGAUUUGACAAGGGUGUCUGUUUCUGGUCCUGGAGGGCUGAAUUGAGGGAAAUAUGGAAACUUUUUGUUUGAGAGAGUCUGAGAGAAAGAUCACAUCUUCUCUCAACAAAGAUUUCGCACUUCUUUUUUAGGUUUAUAUGCUUGGGGUUAGUGUUCUGCAUGGGAUUAUUGUUCUGUUGUAUUGAGAGAAAAACCACGCCAUCUCUACAUAAAGUUUCUUAUGGUGAAAGUUUCACAUUUCCCCAUCUUCCUGUCUCCACCUUUUUCCUCUUACCAUUUAUGCUUUUCUCCUAGUCCCUCAGUACUCAGUCCUUAUACCAUAGUGCAGUACAAUCACACUACAACACCCCUCAAUUUUUGUUAAAUGCAAAGACAAUUAGUAUUGAAAAUAACACCCAUCCAGUGGCUCAUAACAAAUGUUGAGAAUAUGUGAUGCUACACUUUCUUGGUCUAUAUGACAGCAAUUUGCUUCAUGUGCAUUUGAGUCUAGUCUCAAGUCUGUGGGGUGUGAGUCCUUCUCGAGUGUGUGAUUGUUUAGUUGUGUAGUAAAGUCAUUCAUUGCAGUUCAAUUAACUCCUUAAAUGGCCAGGGCCCACCAACAAGCCCAGUGUUUUAUUAAACACUUCUAUCUACGAGUAGCUCAGCCAGUUUGCAUUAAACUCCCAAUAGUUACUGAAUAGUGAGUGUUAACUUCAGUUAUUGCAGAUGGUUUAAGGAAAAAGAAAAAUGGAAGCACUUUGCAUCACAUCGCACAAAGACAGGCUGGUUCUAUCUAGGAUCCUUGUACUAGCACCUCUCUGGUCCACGGCCCAGACACCAACCUUGAAUAUCCAAUCAUUUCUGGGAUUCCAAUCAGUUACCAUCUUUUAUCAAUAGCCCACCCACUUGUUGUUUAAAAUAGAAAUAAUUUUGCAUUAAGAAUAGGAUGGCUGCACUGUUCCAAUGCCUUUAUGCCAGUGCCACCAUAAAGAACCCAUUCUGAGCUGAGUGAUCUCAGAGAGAUGUUGCUCCAGGGACGUGAGACAACGUUUAAUCUCUUGUUUUACAGCUCUGACUGAAAGUGAUGAAAGAUUUACAUUUGCUGGUAUCACCUCCCCCUCUAUUCUAAUUCUCUGCUUCUCAGACGCAUGACUGUUUGUUUGCAGUAGGGGCUUUGCCAGACAAAACAAUGACACACACAUACAUGCUCAUACACACACAUGCCCGUCCGUUCCUCCUCAUAGCUGUCUCAGAAGUGUGUCAGCUCCUGGGCUGAGGUGUCUCACUCCAUGGCAAGCUGUUGUCUCCUCCAGCAGAGCUGGCACUCACAUGUGCUUUUUGAUGUGUUUUCUUUUCAUUAAGAGUUGCCACAAAUGAGAGCAAAAACCCUGCAUAGCUCUUCAAAGCCUGGCAUCAUUUGACCCUGUAGGCCAGCAACAGGUGAGAAGUGAGGACGAGAUCCUGCAGGGACAACAGGAGAGCAUUUGGAGAAUGAGGAACAGGCGCAACUUUAGGAUAUUACACAAACUUUAGGUGUUUUCUACAGUUUUCUGUGGAUAGUUUUGAAACAGUAUGAAAAGCAUCAGGUUAGUGGUCAGUUCCACAUGCUGUAUUGUGGUUAGUCUGUGGUAGCGCAAUAGAGAGGGUGACGUCAGACCAUAGCUCAACCCAGUCUGAGAUGUAAGACAUAUUGACUUAUUUUAGCAGUGACGCAUAGUGCUGCUUCUUCUGAUCUACUAUUGGUACAGUGGUUCACAAAUAUGUGCAGGCAUUGCGCAUUUUGGUGCUUGCUAUGUACGCUCAUCAUGCAUGUGAAGUCUAGUUAGAAAAGUUAUUUAAGUGACACUUUCAUUAAAAUGAGCAAAUAUUCACGUAAUAUUUAGAGCAAGAUAACAUGCCUGUUUGCAUAUGGUGUCCUUGAGAGCCUUGAGACUAAACCUCUAGGUAAGCUAGUAAACAGUUGCCAAGUAAGCCUAGCUAUAGUGGCUAGCCCAUAGAAGUCGAGUGGUUACUGUCAUUUUGUUGUACUAUGUAAAUAUACUGUAAUUACACUCAUACAAAGGAAAUGCAUAGUUAGUUAGUAAAGAAUUCCUAUUUUAAUUUACAUUCUUUGUCAACAGAACUUAUUUCUGUUUCAAUCUCAGUAAAUAACAAACAAGUGGCAAAAAUGUAAAUAAUGCUUUUUCUGCUAAAUAAGACUGUAUGGUCUCUAAAUUCAAAUAAGAAUAAAACGUCUCUUGUAUUUAUGAA